UUUCCGUAGGUGAACCUGCGGAAGGAUCAUUAUUGAAUACGAUUGGCAACUGAUGCUGGCUCUUAACUGGGCAUGUGCUCGUUCCAUCUAUUUAUCUUCUCUUGUGCACAUUUUGUAGUCUUUGGGAAAGUGAACCUCUCGCAGCAAUGCGGUUUGGGGGAAUGGGUCUUGUUGCCCUUCCCCUGCUUGCUUCUUCCAAGACUAUGUUUUCAUAUACACUAUAAAGUUACAGAAUGUCUUUUAACGAUUGUGCUUGUCGCAGUCAUUAAACCUAUACAACUUUCAGCAACGGAUCUCUUGGCUCUCGCAUCGAUGAAGAACGCAGC
Molecule: unclassified non-coding RNA, 326 nt
Filed under: uncultured fungus
Lineage: Eukaryota; Fungi
Description: sequence contains ITS1, 5.8S rRNA gene
Rfam family: 5.8S ribosomal RNA (bases 278-326)
Source: RNAcentral